This 305-nucleotide ribosomal RNA is filed under the name uncultured bacterium. RNAcentral describes it as "bacterial SSU rRNA". It matches the Rfam family "Bacterial small subunit ribosomal RNA", at positions 337 to 659 of the family's 1533-position model. The record is from RNAcentral.
ACCUACGGGGGGCAGCAGUGGGGAAUAUUGCACAAUGGGGGGAACCCUGAUGCAGCGACGUCGCGUGAGCGAAGAAGUAUUUCGGUAUGUAAAGCUCUAUCAGCAGGGAAGAAAAUGACGGUACCUGACUAAGAAGCCCCGGCUAACUACGUGCCAGCAGCCGCGGUAAUACGUAGGGGGCAAGCGUUAUCCGGAUUUACUGGGUGUAAAGGGAGCGUAGGUGGCAAGGCAAGUCAGAUGUGAAAACCCGGGUCCCAACCCCGGGAGUGCAUUUGAAACUGUCUGGUUAGAGUGCAGGAGAGGGA